CAGAGACAGAGACAGAGAGAGAGAGAGAGAGAGAGAGAGAGAGAGAGAGAGAGAGAGAGAUGCAGAAAGAGGGCAAGACAGAGACACACUGGCAGAGAAACAGAGGGACAGAGAGGGGCAGCCAGCAAGAUGUACUCUCGGAUACGUAGAAAGCGGUACUCUGGGAUACGUAGAAAGCGGUACUCUGGGAUACGUAGAAAGCGGUACACUGGGAUACGUAGAAAGCGGUACUCUGGGAUACGUAGAAAGCGGUUGGAAAAUCACUUUUGUGAUUAACAGCAAACUAAAAAUGCCUAUUUUGUCUGCCUUCCUCACUGCUUGUUGAUCUUUGGAAGACUCAAGGGAACCAAUAGGAUAGGAGGGGCAUUGUUGUUGAUUCUUCUCCUCAGUACACAGAGAAAGUUCUAUAUGAAACCCAAAAGGAUUUUACCUGGAACCAAAAAAGGAUCUCCUAUAAGGAGAGCCGAAGAACCCUUUUGGAACCCUUUUUUUUACCUAAGAGUGUACCACUAGAGAGAGAGAGAGAGAGCAGUGAGAGAGAGAGGGAGAGAGCGAGCAGUGAGAGAGAGAGAGAGAGAGAGCAGUGAGAGGGAGAGAGAGAGAGAGCAGUGAGAGGGAGAGAGAGCAGUGAGAGGGAGAGAGAGAGAGAGCAGUGAGAGGGAGAGAGAGAGAGAGAGCAGUGAGAGGGAGAGAGAGCAGUGAGAGGGAGAGAGAGCAGUGAGAGGGAGAGAGAGCAGUGAGAGGGAGAGAGAGCAAGCAGUGAGAGAGAGAGAGAGAGAGAGCAGUGAGAGGGAGAGAGAGAGAGCAGUGAGAGGGAGAGAGAGAGAGCAGUGAGAGGGAGAGGGAGAGAGCGAGCAGUGAGAGGGAGAGAGAGAGAGAGCAGUGAGAGGGAGAGAGCGAGCAGUGAGGGAGAGAAUGGGAGGAGGGGUAGAUAGUGGUGGUAUGCGAUGUGUGACUUACUGGAUGCAGGCUACUAAAUCGAACUCGUUCAACAAUAUCUUAGUUUUAGCUCUAACCGCCCCGCCUGGCUGUACAAUCAAGCUAGCAUAGAUGCUACAGCCAAGCAACAGAGGUAAUUCACUGUGAUAGUUGAGGCCUGUUCGGUUGUUGUGAAUGCCACAAUUGAUUAUCAAAUGAUGCUGUGACAGUAAUCAACAGAGCGAGCCCCCAAAUACAUGCAGAUACAUCUCCAUGAAGUCCUGCUAAAGUCCUGAAGUCCAUGAUAAAGCGUGAUAAGACUGUAAUAUGGAUGUAAUGAAAUCCGAGUGCUAUUGUUAUUGUGCAUCAGGCAGUCAGCCAAGUGUUUAAUCUUCCUGUUGUUGACUUCCUGAUUCCUCUCUAUCUUCCCGAUGUUGACUUCCUGAUUCCUCUCUUCUCUCUGUUCUGUAGAAUCAAGGCUUCCCAAACGGUACAAUAUUCCCUAAGCACUUCUUUUAAACAGGACCCAUAGGGGUCUCUGGUCAAAAGUAACGCACUAUAUAGUGCCAUUUGGGAUACAGACUAGAUCUCAGAACAGCUACAGAAUGAAGAUUAAGAAUUUUGACUCAAGUUUAUUUCUCCCGUGACCGAGCGACUGCUUUUAUCUUCAAACAAACCACUAUAAAUAUGUAGAAAGGGAAAAAGACGAACAACCACCCUGAUCAACUCUCUCUGUCAACGACCAACUAGUCAUGACAGUCCUUAUGGAUAAUGGAGUGUAAUUGUUCAAAGGAGGACAGAUAACGCAGUUGACU
Molecule: long non-coding RNA, 1733 nt
Organism: Oncorhynchus tshawytscha (Chinook salmon)
Lineage: Eukaryota; Metazoa; Chordata; Actinopteri; Salmoniformes; Salmonidae
Source: Ensembl